GCCUGGAGGAAGGGCAGGGCCGCGGGCUCGGCACUGGGAACAAAGGGGACCGGCGGAAGGAACGCCCCCAGUCGAUCCCGGAGCGAUGCCCGGGUGGACCAGGGGCUUAGCUCCGGAGAGAGGUUUCCCACUGGAUUCGUGCACAGCCCCUCCCCUGCGGCGCCGGCUCUGCGAGCCCCAGUUUCCUCAUCUGGCAGCUGGAAACAAAUCCUUCCGGAAGUGUCCAGGACCCACGAAAGUGUUUUAAUUUCUUUUAGUUUUGGUAAAAAGUACUAAACGCGACCGGGCGUGGGGGCUCACGCCUGUAAUCCCAGCACUUUGGGAGACCGAGGCUGACGGAUCACUUGAGGUCAGGAGUUCGAGGCCAGUCUGGCCAACAUGGUGAAACCCCGUCUCUGCUCAAAAUACAAAAAUUAGCCGGGCGUGGUGGCAUGCGCCUGUAAUCCCAGGUACUCGGGUGACUGAGGCAGGAGAAUCGCUUGAACCCGGGAGGCGGAGGUUGCAGUGAGCCAAGAUCGCACCAUUGCACUCCAGCCUGAGCGACAGAGCGAGACCCUAUCUCAAAUAAAUAAAUACAUACAUAAAAAGGGCAGGGCACGGUGGCUCACGCCUGUAAUCCCAACACUUUGGGAGGCCGAGGCGGGCGGAUCACCUGAGGUCAGGAGUUCGAGACCAGCCUGGUCAACAUGGUAAAACCCCUUCUCUACUAAUAACACAAAAAUUAGCUGGGCAUGGUGGCGGGCGCCUGUAGUCUCAGCUACUCAAGAGGCUGAGUCACGAGAACCGCUUGAACCCAGGAGGUGGAGGUUGCAGUGAGCCAAGAUCACACCACCGCACUCCAGCCUAGGCAACAGAGUGAAACUGUGUCAAAAAAAAAAAAAAAAAGAAAAAGAAAAAGAAAGAAAGAAGAAAGAAAGAAAAGAAAAGAAAAAAGAAAAGAGAAGAAAAAGUACUGAAUGCAGUGGAAAGUAGCAUUUUUAAUUUUUUAUAAAGUGGAAGAUAGGCCCACAAAGCAAAAGUGCCCAGAGCUGACAAAAAUCUCUGGAGAAAGGACCUCUCUGGUCGUUGCCAAAGGGAGCAGCUGACGCUGUUGUAAAGCCCGCAGCUCGAUUCCCAGCGUGAAGUAGGGGGCGGACUUUGUCUACACACCAGGGAAGAUGGCUUCAGGCAGUCCACAUACUCCCAUGCCUAUGACACAAAGUUUGCGUCAAAUGCCGAAUGACCGUAGAAAGGUGGACGUUGAGUUCUUCAGCAGCUUCUGGUGUAGUUGUAAGAGGACCAGCUUCCGUGAUUGCUCUCAGUUGGUGGUUGUCAACUUCCGACGACUGGCCGCUACGCUCCUCAUCUUCAAGGCUCUCCUCUCUUUUGCAAAACUUCUUGAACCCCCACUGCACGGUAACUGUGGCCACGUGGACCAAGCCAACGCCGGCUCCUCUCAUUCCCAUUGAGAUCAGCAAGGCAACUCCAGCCUGUACCACCAAUAUCCCCAGGCCAGGAGAACAGCCAGUGAAAGCCCAUUUGAAAGACUGCCAUAUUCCUCACCAAUCCGUUUCUCAAGGCCAAGAUGUUCCGUCAAGGUGCAUACAACAGGAAAUUAUAAAUCCCUCUCAACCGGGCGCAGUGGCUCACGCCUGGAAUCCCAGCACUUUGGGAGGCCGAGGUGGGUGGAUCACCUGGGGUCAGGAGUUUGAGACCAGCCUGACCAAUAUAGUGAAACCUCAACUCUACUAAAGAUACAAAAUUAGCUGGGCGUGGUGGCGCAUGCCUGUAAUUCCAGCUCCUUGGGAGGCUGAGGCAGAAGAAUUGCUUGAACCCAGGAGGCGGAGGUUCCAGUGACUGAAGAUUGUGCCAUUGCACUCCAGCCUGGGCAACAAGAGCGAAACUCCAUCUCAAAAAUAAAAAUAAAAAUAAAAAAUAAAAUCCCU
This is a long non-coding RNA of Homo sapiens (human), 1925 nucleotides long. Lineage: Eukaryota; Metazoa; Chordata; Mammalia; Primates; Hominidae. The record is from Ensembl.